This 15799-nucleotide long non-coding RNA is filed under the name Equus asinus (donkey). Its description in RNAcentral is "lncRNA (ENSEASG00005033197.1)". Lineage: Eukaryota; Metazoa; Chordata; Mammalia; Perissodactyla; Equidae. The record is from RNAcentral.
GAUGCCACCACAGCAUGGCUUGAUGAGUGGUGUAAAGGUCCGUACCCAGCAUCCAAACCUCCGAACCCUGGGCUGCUGAAGCGGAGCACACCAACUUAACCACUACGCAAUGAGGCCAGCCCCUAGUUUUUAGUUUUUUUUUUUUUUAUUAAGGUUAUGAAAGUUAACAUCCUUGUGAAAUUACAGUUGUGCAUCAUUAUUGGUCAUGUUGUGGGUACACCACUUCACCCCUAGUGCCCUCCCCCCACCCCUCUGUGUUUAUUUUUUUUAAAUCACUAUUACACAAGUUGCAUUUUACUAACCAUGUUUGUAAUUCGUUGGCAGAUUUCUGACUUAGGGACAGGUUUUUCAACAUUGCACAUUAGAGUCACCUGGAGAACCCUUGAAAAAAUACCGAUGACUGGCUCCUGCCCACAGAGAUUCUGGUUUCGUUAUUCUGAGGCGGGGCCUAGGUCUGCUUGUUGUUGUACUGUGCAAACAGACCUGAGAAGCACUGGCCCAUAGUAACAUUUAGAAAAGACUCAGUGGUCCCUUUGCCUCCCCUCUCCCUGGGCUUCCAACCUGAACUCAGCUUUCUAGAUCUUUCCAUUCCAAUGGCUGGGAAAGGCAGAUCCAAGGAAAGGAAUGGAAUGGCUUUGCGGCUGGAGACCUAAAGAGGAGAUAUUAAAGCUGUAGGCCACACAGCAUCCAGGGCAAGACUCCUCCCAAGCUCGAGGCGUUCCCAGGCCUGUUUUACCACCGGCCCAUGCGAGAAGAGUACUCUUCACUGGAGAGCCAAUCCGGGGGGUGGAAGACUGAAAGGGGUCUGGCUGUGACCUGCCAGAGGCCCCACUCCUGGCUCCUUGACCCAGUGAACAAAGCUCCUUCCUGUUGGUUGGUAAGGUAUACUUCUAACCCUAACGUUCAAGAAAUUACCUACACAAAGUUGAAGGUGAGUCUUAGAAUUUUAUGCGUAGGUGAGCUUUGAAGAGCCCCUGCCCUUAUUUGAGAGUAAAUAAGCUAAGGUGGCCAAGCCACUGUGAAACCUGUGAUCACAAGGGUAAGUAGACAGUUGCUGGCAGAGCUGGGAGUGGCUCCUGUAUAUAGGUCAUCAGGUUGCAGUGUUGUACCUUACUCACUAGAUCAUGCUGUUCAAAGUUCUGCCUAUAACAGCUUCCCAACUUGUUCUAUGGCACAACCAGAGACACUCACAACUAGAAUAUACAACUGUGUACUGGGGGGCUUUGGGAAGAAGAAAAAAAAAAACUUGUUAUAUAAACCUACAAUUUUUUAAAAAAUUCUUAGUUUUAAUAACCUCUGUAUUCCAACUCUUAAAAAUUAUUCUAGAGAACCAGAUUCAAACCUGCAGAACAAGAAUGUAACUUGUUAUAAAGUUAGUUGAAGGAAAAACAUUUUACAUACGUUAUUUGAUAGAGAUUAGUACAUACCACAAGACUAUAUUCACGUGAAUGAAAAUCAUUUAGAUAUCUCCUUCUGCAGUUUAUUAGGAUAUGGAGUUGGAGUUAUUUAUUCCUUUCAAGUUAUAGUUUAUGACAACAUCAACUUUAUUUUGUUGGAAAGCGUACAAACAUAGCAACUGGGGAGCGGUUUCCCUGCGAAGCUUCAAGGAUGUGCAUUUAAUUGAGUCAUUUGUCUUAAAAAUUUUAAUAUCUGCGAGAUAGUUUGAAGUCACUAUCUCUGCAUUUUAUAAAAAUACAUAUCUUUAACCAUUUCUUAAGCAGCUGGUUGCUAAGACCCAAAAUGUGCUAAACCCUUUGUAUGGCCCCUCUGCAGUUCCGGGAGAGAUCGGCAGAGACUGUGGGUGUCUAUGGAGUGGUUCCAUGUGGUUAUGCUGUUUAGACUUCGUCAUCAAGAUACCCAUACCGGCAGGGGCCGGCCCUGUGGCGCAGCGGUUAAGUGCACACGUUCUGCUUCUCAGCAGCCUGGAGUUCGCCGGUUCGGAUCCCGGGUGCGGACAUGACACCGCUUGGCAAAAGCCAUGCUGUGGCAGGCAUCCCACAUAUAAAGUAGAGGAAGAUGGGCAUGGAUGUUAGCUCAGGGCCAGUCUUCCUCAGCAAAAAGAGGAGGAUUGGCGGCAGAUGUUCUCUUAGGGCUAAUCUUCCUCAAAAAAGAAAAAAAAAAAAGUGGGAACCUGGGAGUAAUUUCCACAGAGAUGAUAGCUGAAGACAGUGAAUGUGGUAACCAAAGACAGAGUGUCAACGGAUUUGUAUUUGAGAUACAAUGGGAGAAAAACAUCGAGGAGAAGAAGCUGCCAAACCUGGAGUCAGGCUGAACCUUUCCAUAGCUGUGAGACUUUGGGCAGCUAACUUAAUCUUCUGAGCCUAAGGUUGUUCCCAUGUGGAAUGGGAAGUAAUGUAUAUGAAGCCUAGCGAUGGUUAGUUCCUCUCCCUUUUCAAAGAAGAAAGAAUUAGUAAAACGAGUACCCCAGGGACCUUGGAAAGAGAUUUCAAGAAGGAAAUGGUCAAGAAUGGGGUCAUGGGCAAUAGGAAUCAGAAGAGUCUGGGAAUUCUGGAGCCGACAUACUCCCUGCAGUGCCACCAGCGUUGUUGGCUCUCAGUCCCCUGUGAAUUGUCUCCGAUAAUGAUAGGUGAAGCAGCAGCUGUGAAGACUGCAGCUUCUCUGUGAAUAUCCGUCUUGUUUUACAUUAUAAUGUGUUUUCUUCAGUGAAGGAGAAAGGGUGGGACUUCAGAUAGAGCCAGAAAUUGCUGCUGACCCUGAGAGUGCCCGUUUAGCUCUUAUGCCAGAAAAACGUUUUAAGAAUGGCCACUCCUAGGAAGCCAGUUCAGGAGAGUGGAAGGAGCAGAAAUCAGAUUAUUUGGGUUUAACGAGCAUGUGAAGAAAAAUUGAAAGCUAUGGGUACAGACAUUUUGAAACUGCAACAUUGAUGCAUUUUCCACUCAAGGUCCCAGUAAUCCUAGACCAAAAAGAAUUCUGACUUGAAUUUCUCUAAAUGAUGUAGGGUACUCGCUCAUUACCCAACCUUCCAGUCUUCUGACUUUAUUCCAGACCAACCUCCUUACCCUACGAGCGGCAUCCAGUAAGGGUUGUGGGCUCCGCAGGCCUGCCUACCAUCUGCGCCUUUUCAUUUUGUUCUCUCUUUGCUUAUUUUAUUCCCUGCUCGCUCUCUCUAUAUUGACCUGGAGUGUAACCUGACUUUGGCUUCUCUGUCUGACCCCAUGUUCCUCAUCAUUACUCAAAGUCCAGUAAAAGACAGUCCUUUCUUUUCUCAUUUCAUUCGACCUUCUCUCCCACCCACCCCACCCCAUGCCUCCUUCUCUCCAGACCGCUCUCUUCUCCAAAUGGAACCAGAGCUUCCUGGCUCCAGGGCUGUUUGUUUGGUUUGAAAGUUCCUGGCCCUCCCUCUGGCUUCAUUUUCUUUGCCUAUUGGGAUUCUCUGCCCUUCAGCCCUCAACUCACAUUCAGUCCAGGACCUCUCCAGAGCUCUGUGUACUUAGAUUAUCUGCAGCAUUUUGUCAGGCCAUGUCUGCCAGUCAUUUCCAGCUGUCUAAGCGCCUGGACUUGGCAUGCCUCAGCAGUCAUUUCUCUGCCCUUUUCUCUUUUCACCCCUCCUUGCCCUCCAGCGCUUUCACAUAAUAGUCACUCAGUAAAUGUCUUUUAUUGAUAGUCGAGAAGAAACUCAUUAAUUCUGGUUCAGAUGUCAUGUAACACUUUUCACCUGCUCAUUGUGUUGGCAAUGCAUUUGAUAUUUCAUUUCCCCCCUCUGCUUAACAAACGGGUUUCUCUGUGUGUGAGUAAAAUACUAAAUUUUUGUUUCACUCUUCUGGAGUCUUCUAGUUUUUUGUUUGUUUGUUUUUUACUUUGAGAAGCCAAUGGUUAUUGGAAGGAAUCAAGGUGACCGUGGUAAAGCCUCUCACCAGUGCUUUAUAAGCCUGUUGGUUCUUGUUGUGUUUUAUUUUUUUAAGGUAGCAUAUUGCUUUUCAAAUCAUAAAAAUAGUACAUAUUUACUCUAGAUGACAGAAACAGAAAUGAAUAACAGCACUCGUAGGUAUAUACCCAGGAGAAUUGGGAACAGGGAACAUACGGUCACACAAAACUUUGUACAUGAGUGUUCCUAGCAGCAUUACUCAUAAUAGUCAAAAGGUUGAAACAGCCCAAAUGUCCAUCAACUGAUGGAUGAAUAAACAAAAUUGGGUAUGGCCAUACAAUGGAAUAUUAUUCAGCCCUAAAAAAGUGUUGAAUACAUGCCACAACACAACCUUGAAAACACUAUGCUAAGUGAAAGAAACCAGAUACAAAAGACCACAUAGCGUAUAUUUCCAUCUGUAUGAAAUGUCUAGAAUAGGCAAAUCCAUGGAGAUAGAAAGUAGAUUCGUGGUUGCCAGGGGCUGGGGGAUGGGAGGAAUGAGGAGUGACUCCCAGCAGAUGCAGGGUUUCUUUUUUGGGGUGGUGAAAAUGUUUUGCAAUUAGGCAGUGGUGAUGGUUGCACAACCUCACGAAUUUACUAAAAAUCACUGAGUUGUACACUUUAGGUGAAUUUUAUGGUUGUGAAUUAUAUUUCAAUUUUUAAAAUAAAGGAAAAAUAAAAAUCACUGGUAGUGUAUUAUUUCCUUUCAGUGUUCUGACACGUGUUACUGAAACGCUUUCCAAAGAGGGCGUGUGUAACUGUUCACUGUUUGGCAUCCUUGCUAGAAUUCAGAAUUGCUAUUUUCUAAAUCUUUCUAAAUUUGACAGAUGAAAAUAUUGUACCUCAUCGUUUAAAUAUAUGGAUUUUUGUAAUGACUGGUGAGAUUAUUUUCAUGUGUAUGAUUUUUAGCCAUUGGAAUUUCUUCCAUUUCUUAAUCUUAUUUAAAUGAUGGUCUUAAUGGCUUUCUUAUAGCUUAUUCCACAUCUCUUUUCUUUUUAAACAUAGAAAAACAGUUCAUGUUCCCAAACAGAAUGCUGCUAAAGUGUCUGCAUUUAGGAUAAUGUUUCCCCAAGGCGUGAAAAUAAUUGAUUAGCGUUUGUGCAACUAAAUAGCGCACACAAGUGUGCAGAUCAAAGAUCAGUUUUCCCAAAUGUCAUUUCCCCCCUUUUAGCACAAAACCAUUUUCAGCUUUGAAGUAAUAGUAUUUUCCGCGUCUGUGUGUAUUUACAUUCCAGAAAUAAAGCUCACUUGGCAUUUGGGUACUGUUUUUUUCAAAACAGUUCUGAACUUCAUUUGCUAGUAUUUUAUAAAAUAUUUUCUAGGCUUUAGAGUGAGGUUAUGUUAACAGUGCAAAGUCAAUUGGGCUUUUUUUUUUUUUUUUUUUUAAUCUAUGCUCUAGAAGAAAUUUAUUUAGCAGGGAAUUAUCUGUUCCUUGAAAGUUUGAAAGAAUUUAUCCACAACACCUUAGGGGCCUGGCACUUCAAUAACAUUUUCAAGUUUCUUUCAUCAAUAAUAAUCAGUUGAUAUUUCCUACUCUUUUGAAGUCAGUUUUAGUCAUUUACACCAUAGAGAUGCACAUAGCAUCUUCAUAAUUCUUUGCAAACUCUUUCUGGCCACGUAUGCUGUUGGGCAGAUUUGCUGCCCCUGUGCCGAUUGAACUUGCGCCUCUGUGAUCUGAGAGCAGAGCUGCAGGCAAGGCCAUCCCCUCCCGUGGCCCCCAGGAUCCUCUUACUAUAAAGAAAACCUCACCCUGUUCCUCCUCCUCUUAAAGCACUUUAAUGGCUCGAUGUUACCUUCAGGAUAAAGCCCAAGCUUUUCUCAUGGCAGAGAGGCCAUUUUAGGUUAGGUCCCUGGCGACCCCUCCAGCCUCAACCCUCACCACUUGCCCUAACCACUCACGCAAAGUCUCCUGUAGUGAACUUCCUGCCAUUUCCCAGAUGUCUGCCCUUCCCUGCUCUGGGCCUUUGUGCAUGCUGCUUCCUCAACUGAGUGCCCCGUCCGUCUAACUAACCCCCACCCCACCCUUGGGACUCCACUCAGACGCCAACUCCUCCGUGACUUAUCUUCCCACGGGUUGUGUACCCCUGGGCCUGUGCCUCCACAGCCACACCCCUCACUCCUGCCCUAGCAUUCAACACUAAUUAUUUUAAUUGCCCCUUUCGUUGUUUGUGUUCAUCAUUAGAUUGGGAAUGUUGAGGGCAGGGAGGGUCAGUAACACUCAAUCUUGUAUCCCAAGCAGCUACCUUAGGACCUGAUGUGAAGUCCAUUGUAUUGAAUGAAUCAAUGAACAAAUAAAGAUAAGCAUGCCUUUAUCACUAAUCUUAUGCCUACAGCUAAUCAUGCAAGCGUCAAGAGUGUAGACUGAAGCCAGACUGCUUGAGUUCACUUUCCAGCAUCACCAUUUGCUUUCUGUACCUCUCUGUGCCUCAGUGGACACCCAUGUUAGCUACUUCUCAAGGUCAAGGACAUGAUGCUGGCAUUCGAUGACAUCAAACUAAUAGGACUUGGAGGCAGGACAUAGCAGGUGCUGUAGACACCUUGGAUAAGAUACAUAUGUGCCCAAAGUGAGAGAUGUAGCCCAUGGAAGUAUAAAGGGCUGCCACCUCAUUAAAGUAUAAAUCUCUUAUAAAGUCCAAGGAUUUGGAUGUCAUCUUCAAAGGAAGAGGUCUCACGGACUCCUCUGGUUCUGAUCAAGAAACUCACUUUACAAUUUAAGAAGAAAAUGGGCUGAUGUUUAUGGUGUUUAUGGUUCAGGUGUUUCUCCAUGUAUCCUGGCAGAAGCAGGCAGCCUUAAGCAGUCCAUAGGUUACAGGAUAUAAAGACGGAAGCCAGCUGGAACUAGAGAAAGAACAUCACCGAGAGAGAUCCUGGAUGGGAAGCUGGAUGCGCUGAUGAGACCUUGCGGUGUCUCCUUUUUGGACUGAGGGUAAGCCUGUUUUCGAUAGGGGGACAGUUGCGUAAUCUCAGGCAGGAAAGUUGUUACUGGUAAGAAGUAUGCAAGAAGGGUAUAUGUUAAUGUUGGGCAAACUAAGAGUUGGCUACACUGUAGAUAUUUAUCAUGUUUUCUGGCUGCCCUGUAAAUUUUUGAGGACCCUUGCUGUAUAUGGGGAAUUUACCACCUUAUAUGUCCCACUCCCCCCAAGUAAAAGCCCAAAAAACUCUCUUUCCUGGCUUUCCUGGCAACUGUGGCAUAAACAUGUACCCAGCCAUCAGUAAAGCUUAUCCAUGAGACACUGGUUUCAAAGUGAGCAAUAUAAGGGAGCAGUAGUGCAUGGUAUAUAUAUUUUCUGUUAACGGAGUAACAGAAGUAUCUAGCAUUCGGAAUGCUCAAGACUGAGUUCUUGGUGAAGAGGUGUCACAGAUACUGGCCACAGUAGCAGUUGCAAUAAAAUUAAAUUUCUGACACAAAAGAGGCAAAGGGGAAAAUUACAGCAUUUGGUUAGUGCUUGGGGAAACAACUGGGUGAUUUUCUCAUAAGCCAGUUCUGUUUUGGGGUCCCUAGAAAUACAGAGCUUUGGCUGAUUCUCUGGUCUUGUCAAUUAGUCUGCAAACUACCCAAUAUCCAGAGACACUUUCUGUUGCUUGCAACUGGUGGACUCUGACUGAUCCAUAAAGGUACUGGUUCCAUCUGAAAGGACUGAAGGAUACGUGAAAAGAAGGAACGGAAGACAAGUCUGGAAAGUGUGACUGUGGAACCAGUGCGGGUUUCUGAGCAGGGAACUGAUAGAAUCAGACUGAUGAUUCUGGAAAAGUAAACUGGCAGUAGUAGGGAAAUUUUAUUAAGGAGGAACUUAAGAUAAUUUCCAGUUAAGGCCAAGACAAGACCCAUGAAGAGACCAUGGCACUAGUCUAGGUGGGGGCACUGAGGCUUGGACUAGAUCCGGGGUUUAGAUCACGGGCAGUGGAGGUGGAUAACAGUCUCAUUCCUGGUGUGACUGUUGACAAGGGACACAUGGCUUUCUAAUCAUAAAUUAAAUAAUUAAAAGUCACUACCAAUCAUGUUUCUGGCAUUUGACUGAAAGAAUUAUCAAGCUCAGGGGCUGGCUCCGUGGCCGAGCGGUUAAAUUCACGUGCUCCGCGCUGCGUCGGCCCAGGGUUCGGAUCCUGGGCGCGGACAUGGCACCGCUCGUCAGGCCAUGUUGAGGCGGUGUCCCACAUCCCACAACUAGAAGGACCUGCAACUAAGAUAUACAACUAUGUACCGGGGGCAGGGGGUGGGAAAUAAAGCAGAAAAAAAGGAAAAAACAAAAGAUUGGCAACAGUUGUUAGCCCAGGUGCCAAUCCUUAAAAAAAAAAAAAAGAAUUAUCAAGCUCAAAUCUGCCCAGAUGUCACAUGACAGUAUCUUCUGGGUGUGGAUUCCAGCUUGACUGAUGCUCCCUGAACUUCCCUCUUUGUGAGGUCCUCAAAAAUUGCUCUUCUGCAAAAGCACAUACUUUUAUAAAAACAUUUCUGAGGAGCAGCGUCUUACGCAGUGUUUAGUGGAAAAGAGAAGUAACAAUUGACUAUCUGAUCAAGUGUCAGAUCCAUAAGCCCAUUUAUUCCUUCUAAGAACUUUAUGAGGUUGGAAUGAUUAUAUUCAUUUUACAGGUGAUAAGAGCAACCCGCGAUUCUCACAAGUCAAUUCGUCAAUUCCCUGCUGUUUUCAGAGUUCCCACCUGCCAGACGAAUUUAGCUCCCGUUGGCCUGGUUGGGGCCCCAGUUCUCUUUUUGCUCCAUAUCAAGAGGCUCACAGAAAACUUAGCAAUGCUGCAGGCAUAGAGAGAACCACCACAUCUUUGUCACUUGCAGCCUAGGACCACUGGGACCUAAAAGGAAAAGCAAGGGAAGUGGCUGGGUGAGGGGAGUGAGGUUAAAGACAACCAAUCUCAUUUGCAGAGUUUACAAAUAUGGUUCCCACUUGUUUUCUCACUGAACGAAAUCUUCACAAGGACUCUCUGCGGUAGGUAUCAUUAGGCCCACUUUAAAGAUGGAGAAACUGAGACUCAGAAGUAGACUCCUGUGUGUACAGUUAUGCAACUAGUAACCAGCAGAGCCAAGGUCUGAGUUCAAAUCCUCUGACUUCCAAACCAGGGCAUUUUCCACUGCGUGGAGCCACAGAAGAAAAGGAGGGAUGGAGCAUCUUUCUGGAUAAGAGUCAGGGGUCUGGGACUUCCCGGUAGGGGGCCAGUAUCCCUGCAGGAUGUUCUUCUUUCCUCGGGUUGCUUUGGGGUCCUUAAGGCAAAUCACCCUAUUCUGUACUCAAAGCUGGUGUGGCGUGCUUUCUCAAGCAUCCAGGCCCAGGGAUGACAGUGAACUGGGAAACAAGAUGGUGCUAACUAACCAUACUCCUCCCUCUUAAGCCAAUUUCCAAAGCCGCUGAGAUAUAAUCAUAGGAGCUACACAGACCAAGAUCAAAAUACUAGCUUUGUGACUGAUAAAGGAGACCAUGGCUUCACCUCCCCAGACUUCCUACCACCUACCCCCAAAAUUGUAGUCCUCCACAUGUUCUGGAGUGUCCCGUAAGAAGCGAUUUAAUGAAAAAGAAACCGUCUUGGAAUUUUCCGCAGCCCAUGAUUUGAGAUAACUGGCGUUGUAACCAACAGCCUGUCUGGAUCAAGAAUGGACGCCUGCAGGCGACAGCUCCCUCCACAAACCUUCUUCUGAUUUCUCCAGUAGAACGACAUAGAUAGCACCUCGCUACGUCCCGUACAGAUUGCACUAAAGAACUCAAGCUGUUCACCAACUGCUCUGCCUUUCAGACGAACAACAGAGGAUGCGAGGAUUGCGACCAUGUAAUAGGAGAUGUUGGACAAAAAGUGAUUAAAAAGCAAGAUCUCAAGUUACUCCUGCCACUGAGGCAUUUAGUACUGUUGCACAGGAAAUGCCAGAGCGUUGUGCAAAUGGAGGAGCCAUUUUCAGUUCUCACCUCAAGCUGGAAGGGACUUCUCUGGCCAGAGGGCCUUUAAAACCCCUUUUUGUCACCGCAGUCUGUAAUGAAUACAGCCACUAGAAGAGAAGCCACUAGAACCACAGAGCCCAUCUCUAACCUCGGGUUAGAGAUUCGGAGUGCCAGCCCCCUCAGCUGUUCCCAGACUCAGCAUGCAAACACUGUCCCUUCAGCGUGUGCGGAAAACGACGUUUAGUAAUCAGAUCCUGUAGAAAGAGGCAGACCUCCCAGUGCAGGGCACACUGUGAGAUGGGGAGACGUGCGCUGCCUACAGAGAAUUAGACCCAACCUGCCCCUCUGCUUUAGGGCCAUCACCAGAAUCAUCUGAAGCGGAGCGGGAGCUGGGGAUCAGAACCCACCAUGGGUUGCUACGCAGUGUGUGCUAUUGCCCCCCCUUCAGUCAUUCUCAAUGCUUCAUUUUGCCAUAUUCCUAAAGUUCUGAGCUUGGAGAAUUCUAAGGCAAUAUUAGAGUCUUCUAGAAAAAUAAAGAUAUGCAUUGUCUUUUACUUCUUUCCCAUCGUUCCUGCCACACAUUACAAUAGCUCUUUAUUUAAGGGGGCAUCUAAUUUGGUGGAAAGAGCAUUUCACUUGCUGUUUUAUGUGGGACAAGGCUUCCUGUGCUUUAUUUCGUUAUCUGCAGUGCCAGUUUUUAUGGUUCUGCGGUAAAUUUACUGGCGGGGAGUGGGUAUGGGGUGGAACAGAAUAACAUGGGGUCUAGAGUGCCUAGAUGGCAGGCAGAUAGUUCGGCCAGAAAAAUAGCAAGGCCAAAAACAAAUUGUACCUUUGAGAGCCUGAAAGAGCGUGAGCUGAGUCCCCGACUGUAAUUUUAACUGUGUUGAUUGUGAGGGCAGGUGUUUGCUCUCUGAUAAUGAGUAGACUUUAAUCCUAGGUGUGAGUACAAAUCAUGUCAACAAGGGUGGCUCCGGAGAAAUUCAAAGUAAUUGCCCAAGACAUAACAUCAGCCCACAACCAAAUUCUCACACUGAAGAAUUAUGCUACUGGUGAGUAGGAAUGGCAGUCCUGAUACAGCUCAUUAGAUAACAGAAAAGGCGCUGAUUCUUCCAAGUCAACAAAUAUCUUCUGAUGCUUCAGGAGCCAGCUGAGCAAGCUAUUCCAGCCAUGGAGAGGCGUGGCUCUGGUGGUGACACGCGGUGUGGUGACACAUGGUGAACACCCAAACUCGGUCAUGCUGAUUAGUUGCGUAAUGGAUGGAUGAGUCAAAGAUCACGCUUUCUAGUUUGUCAGCUACCUGGUAGCUCCCAGGAACUUGCUCUGGUCUGUCAGUGGCUACGUGCAAGCAAUGCUGGGGCUCCUUAUGAGCCCACGGAGUCAUCAUCAGGACCUGAGUUUCAGGGGAGCAGGUAAAGAGGCAAGAUAAAAGGACUCCUGACACCCACCCUUUAAUCCAAAGAGGGAGAUUCUGUCAGGGACUGUGUUUCCGUGAGCAUCUUCAAUUUCUUCAGGGCAUAGUGAAUUUAUGACAGCCCAAGGGAAGGAGCAAAGUAAGAGUCUGAUCUAGCAAAGUCAGCUCUGGCAAGGUAGGAAACCUUACCUACAAGACACGGCUGCCACUAGCCAGUCAAUAGCACCCACAGCUGUGGUUCCAUGUUUUCUCCAGUGAGCUUCCUCCCACAAGUCCUCUGACUAUAAUAUUGGUGUCAACUGGUCACACAGCUAACCAGUAGUCCUGGAGUGGGUGGAGGGUUAGCUUUCCUCCCAAAUCAGCACAACCGAGGAGUAAUCAAGGAGUAAUAUACUCCCAGGUUUAAAUCCUAGCUAAGCUACUUAAUAAUUGGAUGACCAUGGACAGAUAAUUAAUCUCUGAGUCUCGGUUUCCUCAUCAGUAAAUUAAGGAUAAUAAUAUUGACUUUGUAGGGUUGUUUUGAAGACUGAAUUAAAUCCGGUGUAUAAAACACCUAACACAAUGCCUAGCACAGGUGGAAGCUCCAUAAAUAGUUCUCGUCUCUGGGAUUAGUGAACCUCAGAAUCGGAAAUAUGUUACAGGUCAUCCAAUAAAAUCUUCCUUCUGCUUUUCUGUUGCCGGAAUCCUCUCCUCCACCCCUAAGAUAUGUGACUAUCCAGCCUAUGCUUUGAAUCUGUCCAAGGCAAGAGAAAAUCCUCUUCAGGAGUUCUGAGGUUCUUGCUGAAAUUGAGCUGAAACACAACUCCCGGGGGCUUCUACUAUUUGAAAAAGCAACCCAUUGCCCCCAUGCAGGAGUAGCACUGCGUAUUGUGCAGACAUGAGCUGUACAGCUCUGGAUGUUGCUCUUCACAUAGACUACAGCGGAAAUGGUGCCCCCUAGAGUUGAGCAGUGCGAUAGCCCUGUCUAUGUAACAGUUGUGGGAAUAUUUGGUGUCAAUCUCAUACUCCUUUGAGUCUUUUCUCCUCCGAUGAAAACCUCCAAAUUCCUUCUAUCAUGCCUCACAUGAGAAAUUUUGUAUCUCCCAUCACUCCAGUCACUCUUCUCUGGAUGCUCAAUUAUGUAGUGUCUGGAUCUGGGCAGAAUGUUUUAGUUAUCAUCUGGCCAGUUUGAAGAAAUGAGACUCGCAUUUCACAUCUCACGCUCCCACCCCUACCCCUUCCUAUAUUUGCAUGGUUUGCUUUAUCACUUUAGUUCUCAAUCCAAGAACAGGACUUUACGUCUGCCUCUGUGAAAUUUCAUCUUUCUACGUUCAGCUCAUCAUUCCAGAUGGUGAAGACGUCUUUGUAUCAUACAACAUGCUCAUUCUCUCAUGUUGGUACAAAGAUUACUCAAGACUCACAGGACAAAUGACAGAGUUGUUUAUCCUACUCUUAGAAAAUUCCCUACAACUUGAUUGGUUUUUUUUCUUUUGAUAUUUCUUGCACUGGCCUCCAGUUAAGAUGUCUCUUUCUUGACUGCAAUCGUAUUGGGGAGACUUUGUUAAGUUUCUUGUUCAAGUUAUUUAUUCCUUCAGCAACAGUUAUUGAGCACAAGCUGUAUCUUGGCACUGUACUAAAUGCUUGGUGGUACAGGCAAUGUUGUGCUGGUAAAUAUUUAACAAUCGACUACCCAGGGGGGCAAAAAUCCCUGAUUUGCAGUGUUUGCUCAUUUCUGUGGCAUAUCUACUUGCAACAUGGCAGAUUUCAAACUACCAAUGUGAUAUCACUGAACAUGGGUGGGAAGAGGUAUGCAAUCAGCUCUUGUGAGCCAGCAUGAGCCAAGUCCACACACUACUGAUGAUGUACAGAUGAGCCAUAUAUGAUCUCUGUCUUAGGAAAGCUCCGUGAGGUUCUUAUAGUCUGGUGACGUAUAGUGUCUACCUCCCCUCUAGACCUACACAUGUCAACAGAGGAAAUAUGAUUUGUUCUCAGAGAACCCAUGUUGUUUCAUAAUUCCAGUGGACUCUUUUAGGUGCUUGUGAACCAUCUUUUCUACGUUUCAUUCAAAAUUAUUUCCAAAAGCAAUGCUGAAUUCAUUCACCUAUAGUUUAAGGAAUCUAUCUCCUUUCUUUUCAAAACUAGUACACUGUUUUGCCCAUUUCUAAUCUUUUAACAUGUUCACUAUUCUCCAUGACUCCUCAAAACUCUCCAUGAGCAGUUUGGAAAUCUCCUCCCUAAAUUCUCGAUAUCUUGUGUUGAAUUUCAUUCCAAUCCGAGAGUUCAGAGCUCAUACUGCCCCUUCACCCAUCGUGAGCUUUGAUUCCAAUCAGUGUUGAUUCUUCUCUUUUUGGAUUCAAACAGUUUUCUACUUGAUGAGAACCAUAGAAGGAGAAUAAAUAUUAGGAUCCUUUCUCCACGUUUCCAUGGGGGGCAAUCAUUGUUUGCUGACUAUGAUAGGCAGAAUAGGGCCUCCCAAAAAUGUCCACUUCCUAAUCUCUGGAUUAGGGGGGAUAUGUUAUGUUACACAUAAAUAUGUUAUAUGGCUAGGAGGAAUUAAGAUUGCACAUGGAGUUAAGAUUGCUAAACAGCAGAUCUUAAAAUAAGGAGAUUAUCCUGGAUUAUCUAGAUGAGCCCAAUGUAACUACAAAGGUCCUUUGAACGUGGAAGAGAGAGGCAGAGAAGAUUUAAAGAUGCUACAUUGCUGGCUUUGAAGAUUGAAGAAGGGACCCUGAGCCAAGGAAUGUGGGUGGCCCCUAGAAACUGGGAAAGGCAAGGAAACAGAUUCUCCUCCAGAGCCUCAGAAGGAAAACAGUCCAUCUGACACUUUGAUUUUAGCCCAGGGAGAUCCAUUUUGGACUUCUGACCUCCAGAACGGUAAGAAAACAACUUUGUGUUUUUAACCUACCAGCUUUGUGGUAGAUUCGUUACAGCAGCCAUAGAAAACUCAUACAUCAACCCAUUCCAGGCCUCCUUCUCCCUUGCCAUCUUCCACUACAGAGGCUGGAAAGUCCAAUACUUGCUAUGUCCACCAUUCUGUGCCCUUCUAAUCCAUUCCCCAAAACAUGAUGGUGACCUAGAUGCCACUUUCCCCAAAAUAUGGUAUUCUGGAAAUCCAGAGGACCUUGACUACUGAAGAAAGUGCGUUGGAUAUCGAGACACCCUUUGUCACCAUAGCCUGAUGGUAGUUUCUCCAGAAGCAGAGGGGAAGAUAAUGCUCUCCCUCUACAGUGUGAUGCUCAGCUGUAGUCACAUCCAAUGUGGGAGCUCUCCAGCUACAAAGCUCUGUCUUUAGGUGACACACACACACAGCCUCUUUUCUCAAGGCAUCUUCAUAGCACUAGAGUGCUAUAUCCAGACGAGUUUCCAAACUUGGCCAUCCAUUCUACCUAGAAGCACCUUUCUCUACAAUCUCAGUCUCCCAGCUCCUAAGAGCAGAAAUCUCACCUCAUCCUAAUCCCAAGACCCACUGCAUCUUCUGGCUCAAAAUGAGUGUUAUUUCUUUCAGGGGGAAAAAAAUCCCCACCUUAUUACAAUAAAAGUGCAUUUUUUCUUCUUAAUCCCCCUGAGGAAAUUAUUCCAUUAGUAUGUGGUCUAUGUGUCUCAUUAAUUUAACUUCAUUUUUUCAUCAGUAUUGCUUCUCCACUCUUGCUUCUUUAACUGCCUCCUCUGUCCUCCGUGAAACCAUCAGCAAAACGCAGCAAGGAUUUUGCCACAUACAGUCAUGUCUUGCUUAAUGAGAGGGAUGUGUUCUGAGAAAUACGUCGUUAGGUGAUUUCAUCAUUGUGCAAACAUCCUAGAGUGUACUUACACAAACCUAGAUGGUAUGGCCUACCACAAACCUAGGCUAUAUGGUACUAAUCUUAUGGGGCCACCAUUAUAUAUGUGGUCCAUUGUUGACCAAAACAUCGUUAUGAGGUGCAUGACUGUACUCGGGUCCUACAUGAACCAGAAUUUCAGGGCAGGGUGGAGAGUGUAUGUACUGCCAUAUCUUGCCCUUUCCUUCCCUUCAGCUGGAUGGAUAGCCUGAAUUUCUUUCCCACAACCACAGUACUUGUUUCUUUCUCCCUUUUUAUCCUUACCUACUUGCCCUCCAUUGAGUCUCUAGCCUAAGGUAAUUGAUUCCUUAGUAGCUCUGUUCUCUUUCAUCUCCAUGUUUUGUUCUUAAGUUUCAUGUCCUAGAGUCUCUGGACCUGUGUUCACUCAGUUUAUUACUCAUGCUCUGUACUCAGGUACCCUCCAUUUAUCACUCAGCAAUGUUCUACAUGCCGUGGGAAAUCAAAGAUGCUUCAUGUGACAUGAAUCCUGCCUCAAAGUUCACAGUGCAGUGGGCAGAUUCCUAGAUAACUAUGCGGUGAGGUAGGAAGUGGUAUGUGCUUUAAGAGAAGAGUUGAUAAGAUACAAUGGGAGCUCAGAGAUGGGCAGGAGGUCCCUUCCAAUUUGAAGCGAGGCCUCAAGCUAGGCCUUGAAAAAUAUGAACGAUUUAGAGAUGUGCAGAAGAGGGGAGACGGCAUUGCAGGCAGAGAAGGCUCUACGUGAGCAAACAGUUCAGAGGUAUGAUAAGGCUGGGCAUACCAGUGAAGAAGAAUGAAGUUCAGUUGGAUAAAGCAUGGCGUGGUGUGUGGAAGAAUGGGAGAUAAGACUAGCAGUGUAGGUGGGGCCAGACCU